RNAcentral lists this transfer RNA (96 nucleotides) under Methylobacterium goesingense. Its description in RNAcentral is "tRNA-Ser". Lineage: Bacteria; Pseudomonadati; Pseudomonadota; Alphaproteobacteria; Hyphomicrobiales; Methylobacteriaceae. The record is from RNAcentral.
GACGUGCCAUCGGGUGGCGGGCCAGCGAUUCCGGCUUGAAUCCGGGACGAUGGGCGCGCAAGGCAAGUCCUGCGGGCUCGGGGCCCGCGCACGGCA